GGCGGAUUGUCGUUAGGUGGUGAUUCGCAGCGGUUUUGUAAACCGCAGGUCGUCGGUUCGAAUCCGACCGGUG
This 73-nucleotide transfer RNA is filed under the name Phycisphaerae bacterium. Its description in RNAcentral is "tRNA-Thr". The stretch from base 17 to 69 matches the Rfam family "tRNA", at positions 7 to 64 of the family's 71-position model. From Rfam's summary of the family: Transfer RNA (tRNA) molecules are approximately 80 nucleotides in length. Their secondary structure includes four short double-helical elements and three loops (D, anti-codon, and T loops). The record is from RNAcentral. Lineage: Bacteria; Pseudomonadati; Planctomycetota; Phycisphaerae.